This 332-nucleotide ribosomal RNA is filed under the name uncultured ciliate. Its description in RNAcentral is "partial 18S ribosomal RNA". Lineage: Eukaryota; Ciliophora. The record is from RNAcentral.
UUUUUUUAACANUGACUUUUCCUUGCUUCUCUUUUUCACCUUCCCACAGUGGUCCACUCCCCUCGGCCAGGGCCGCGUCAACCAGCUCGGCGGCGUUUUUAUCAACGGCAGGCCGCUGCCCAACCACAUCCGCCACAAGAUCGUGGAGAUGGCCCACCACGGCAUCCGGCCCUGCGUCAUCUCGCGCCAGCUGCGCGUGUCCCACGGCUGCGUCUCCAAGAUCCUGUGCAGGUACCAGGAGACUGGCUCCAUACGUCCUGGUGCCAUCGGCGGCAGCAAGCCCAAGGUGAGCGGGCGGGCCUUGCCCUCCUGGCUCCCAGAACUGUGGUCAA